Molecule: long non-coding RNA, 315 nt
Filed under: Gallus gallus (chicken)
Lineage: Eukaryota; Metazoa; Chordata; Aves; Galliformes; Phasianidae
Source: RNAcentral
GCAGGGUCUGGUGACAUAAAGUCACUAAUUGUAGAAGAAAUGUCCAUCCUUUGGUCUGCCAUUGGAUUGCCUGAAAGCUCUUCUUGGAAGCCUAGAUCCACCUGGAGGAAGAAGAGGAUGCUCAGCUUGAAGCAGUUGAACACCUUAAAACUUUUUCAUGCCUCAUAGUCUGUUAGUCAAGUACACUCAAAAACCGUCAGCGCCGCGCGCCCCCUCGCCGCGCCGCGCCCCGAGGUGGGGGGGGGAGGGGGUCGCCGUCCCUCGGCAACGCGCGGCGCGCUCGGAGCGGCACCCGCCGCAGGCAGCCCCCGUCCC